AGAGAGAGAGAGAGAGAGAGAGAGUUUUUCUUGAGAAAAAGAGGAAGGGCAAGGAGGCUUCGACGUUUUAUAGAGAAAUUAAGCCAGAGAGAGAGAGAGAGAGAGAGAGAGAGAGAGAGAGGGAGCUUCUGCUUCAGCUACUUCAGUUUUGGGCUAAUGGGUACUAAAGUAUACUAUACUAGUCCCCGAGUGAAGCGGUGGGAUAAAAUUACACACUGUGACUUUCCUGGAGUUGUGCAAUCAGGCCAAUAGAGAGGACGAGAUUUGGAAUCUAUGGUGGUUCCCAGCAGCCAGAGGUACUUGCGUUGGUUUUGAUUGGUCGGUGAGAAAAGGCA
This 335-nucleotide unclassified non-coding RNA is filed under the name Hevea brasiliensis (rubber tree). The record is from RNAcentral. Lineage: Eukaryota; Viridiplantae; Streptophyta; Magnoliopsida; Malpighiales; Euphorbiaceae.